UACAGAGGUCUCAAGCGUUGUCCGGAAUCAUUGGGCGUAAAGAGCGUGUAGGCGGUCCGGUAAGUCCGCUGUGAAAGUCGGGGGCUCAACCCUCGAAUGCCGGUGGAUACUGUCGGGCUAGAGUGCGGAAGAGGCGAGUGGAAUUCCUGGUGUAGCGGUGAAAUGCGCAGAUAUCAGGAGGAACACCUAUUGCGAAGGCAGCUCGCUGGGACGUAACUGACGCUGAGGAGCGAAAGCGUGGGGAGCGAACAGG
This 253-nucleotide ribosomal RNA is filed under the name uncultured bacterium. RNAcentral describes it as "partial 16S ribosomal RNA". It matches the Rfam family "Bacterial small subunit ribosomal RNA", at positions 524 to 776 of the family's 1533-position model. The record is from RNAcentral.